UAGUAAAUUUUCAAAAACAGACUGAUUUAUCAUUACAACAAAUAAAAUGUACCCUUUGUUGUAUCGAAGAUAUGUUUGGAAAUACUGGAGCACGAUGCUCAAAAAUGGAAUGUUGUAAAGGGAUGAAUAAUACUCUUACUGAUUUAUACAGACAAGAUACGUAUAAGUUAGUAGAAGAUACAGAGGUGACUUUAACAAAUUUACAGCAAGGAUUGGACAAGAUUUGAGGCCGAAUUCAAAAAGUUCUGUAGCUAGUCCUGGUACUAGGAUAUAACAAGUUGUUGUUACUUGGUUUGCGGAAGAAACUUAACUUAAUACUGAAUGAGUCAAAGACAAGCAAAACCAGAGAUGGUGGCUCAAUGUUUUGAUAUAUUCGAUAUGUGAAUGAUCGCAGGGAAGACAGG
Molecule: long non-coding RNA, 404 nt
Organism: Sitophilus oryzae (rice weevil)
Lineage: Eukaryota; Metazoa; Arthropoda; Insecta; Coleoptera; Curculionidae
Exons: 4
Source: RefSeq, a predicted model, not a curated record